ACUUGAUAUAUAAUUAAAGGGCCGCGGUAGUUUGACUGUGCGAAGGUAGCAUAAUCAUUAGUCUUUUAAUUGGAGACCUGUAUGAAUGGUUGGAUGAGAUACUAGCUGUCUCUUAUCUAUUCGAUGGAAUUUAACUUUUAAGUGAAAAGGCUUAAAUUUAAUGGAGUGACGAUAAGACCCUGUGAAACUUUAUAUACCUCAUUUUUAUUAAAAACAUAUAAGUUAAUUUUUAUAGUGGUAUGUUUCAUUGGGGAAAUGUUGACAUAAUUCUUAAUUGUUUAUUAUGAUAUAAUAGUCUAUAACUAGAUUGUGAUCCUUUAUUAUGGAUUAAAAGUUUAAGUUACUUUAGGGAUAACAGCGUAAUUUUCUCUAAGAGUCCUUAUCGACGAGAGUAGUUGCGACCUCGAUGUUGAAUUAAAAUUUCAGGUUGGUGUAGUCGCUUUCCUAGUAGGUCUGUUCGACCUUUAAAAUUUUACAUGAUUUGAGUUCAGACCGG
RNAcentral lists this ribosomal RNA (496 nucleotides) under Crinotonia attenuatus. RNAcentral's name for it is "partial 16S ribosomal RNA". It matches the Rfam family "Bacterial large subunit ribosomal RNA", at positions 1910 to 2619 of the family's 2925-position model. The record is from RNAcentral. Lineage: Eukaryota; Metazoa; Arthropoda; Malacostraca; Decapoda; Palaemonidae.